GAUGAAGAACGUAGCGAAAUGCGAUACUUGGUGUGAAUUGCAGAAUCCCGUGAACCAUCGAGUCUUUGAACGCAAGUUGCGCCCGAAGCCAUCAGGUUGAGGGCACGUCUGCCUGGGCGUCACAUAUCGUUGCCCAAUGCCUAUUGCAGUGCAAUAGGAAUUUCUAGGGCGAAUGAUGGCUUCCCGUGAGCGUUGUUGCCUCGCGGUUGGUUGAAAAUCGAGUCCUUGGUAGGGUGUGCCAUGGUAGAUGGUGGUCGAGUUAGAACGAUACCGAUCAUGUGCAUGCUCCCCAAAAUAUGGCCUCUAUGACCCACACGCGUCUUUUGACGCUCAUGACGAGACCUCAGGUCAGGCGGGGCUACCCGCUGAAUUAAAGCAUAUCAAUAAGCGGAGGA
RNAcentral lists this unclassified non-coding RNA (395 nucleotides) under soil metagenome. RNAcentral's name for it is "partial contains 5.8S ribosomal RNA, internal transcribed spacer 2, and large subunit ribosomal RNA". The stretch from base 1 to 122 matches the Rfam family "5.8S ribosomal RNA", at positions 35 to 154 of the family's 154-position model. The record is from RNAcentral.